GAACGCUGGCGGCGUGCCUAACACAUGCAAGUCGAACGGGGCUACGAUAGCUUGCUUUCGGAUGCCUAAUGGCGGACGAGUGGAGUAAACGCGUGAGUAACCUGGCUUUCACAGGCCAUAACGUUCUGAUAAACAACGCUAAUACCGCGUAACGUACAGCUUUCCUAGUGUAUACCACUAGCAAAAGAGCAGUCCGGCUGAUAUAUGGACUCUGCGUCCAAUUACCUAGUUGGUGGGGUAAAGGCCUACCAGGGCCACCAUCGGUAGGCCGACAUGAGAGGUUGAACGGGCACAUUGGGACUGACACACUGCCCAUACUCCUACGGCAGGAAUCCUUGGGGAAUAUUGCACAAUGAGUCAAACCCUGAUGCAGCAACUCCGCGUGAGCGACGACGGUUGUCUGAUUGUAGACCACUGAUCUUGGUGAUCAGAAUGACGGUAACAAAGGAGAUAGACUCCAGCUAACUACUUGCUCUGCAGCCAUCUUAAUACAUAGGGAGCAAUCGUUGCCCGGAUUUACUCGGGUGUAAAGGGUGCGUAGGCGGCUAGGCCAGACUACGUGAAAACCCAUGGGCUCGACCUGUGUAUCUGCGUUUGAGACUGUUUAGCUUGAGUGACAGUAGAGGUAGGCGGAAUUCCCCGUGUAGACUUGAAUGCGUAGAGAUAGGAGGAACACCAGUGGCGAGGGCGGCCUCUGGUGCUUUAACUGACGCGGAGGCACGAAAGCAUGGGAAGCAAACAGGAUAGAUUCCCUGGUAGUUCCAUGCGGUAACCGAGGGUUAUUAGGGGUGGAGGGUCUGACCCCCUCAGUGCUGGAGCUAACGCAAUAAGUAAUCCGCCUGGGGAGUACGGCCGCAAGGUUGAAACUCAAAGGAAUUGACGGGGGCCCGCACAAGCAGUGGAGCAUGUGGUUUAAUUCGAAGCAACGCGAAGAACCUUGCCAGGUCUUGACAUCCGUCUAACGAUGUAGAGAUACAGUAUGUCCCUUUGGGGGAAAGUCGCGACAGGUGCAGCAUGGUUGUCAUCUGGUGUUGUGAGGAGAUGGUGGGAGUAAGUCCAGCGAGGACCGCCACCAUUGUCAGUAGCCGUCACGGUAAUGAGCACUCUAAUGAGACUGCCGUUGACAAACCGGAGGAAGGUGGGGAUGACGUCAAAUCAUCAUGCCCCUUAUGACCUGGGCUACACACGUGCUACAAUGGCAGUUAACAGAGGGAAGCAGUACCGAGAGUAGAGAGCCAUAAUCCUCUAAAAUUGGUUCCAGUUGGGAUUGCAGGUUGAAAUUCGCUUGCAGGAAGUUGGAAUUGCUAGUAAUCGCGGAUCAGCAUGCCGCGGUGAAUACGUUCCCGGGCCUUGUACACACCGCCCGUCCACACCAUGGGAGCCGGUACUACCCGAAUCCAGUAGUCUACCCGCAAGGAGGCCGCUGUCGAAGGUAGGAUUGGCGACUGGGGUG
This 1453-nucleotide ribosomal RNA is filed under the name uncultured organism. RNAcentral describes it as "partial small subunit ribosomal RNA". It matches the Rfam family "Bacterial small subunit ribosomal RNA". The record is from RNAcentral.